Molecule: RNA transcript, 2401 nt
Organism: Papaver somniferum (opium poppy)
Lineage: Eukaryota; Viridiplantae; Streptophyta; Magnoliopsida; Ranunculales; Papaveraceae
Gene name: tRNA (guanine(37)-N1)-methyltransferase 1-like
Exons: 11
Source: RefSeq, a predicted model, not a curated record
CGCAUGGCUAACCACACCAAAGAAAUGUUUGGCGGGGAUUUUUUCUGAACUGGUGUAUGAAGCACUCACUCAGUGUGGUCUUAUCCCCAUGGCUACGAAAUUAGUUCUUCAAUCUCAUCCUCUUCCUGUUUUCCUUUUUUCUGCAAAUCAUUUCCUUCGAAAGCAAUCGCCACAUAACUCAUCACUUUUCACUUCAUUCUCCACAGUUUCUUCACCUCAAACCCUAACCCUAACUCAUCAUAUCAUUUAUGGUCCAUCUCUUCACAAAGGUACAAAUCCAUCUCAAUCCUCUGCUCAGGUUGUCGAUGAAGAUGAAAGAGAAGUAAUCAAUAAGGAGAGUUUCUCCCGUGUUUUUGAGCUAUCCGCCCUAAGAGUUCCUGCAGAAGAAUGUUUUGCCCUAGAAAAUCGAUUGAGAGGACAUUUAUUGAAUUGGCCUCGCGUUCGUAAUAUUGCUAGGGUUCCUGGGGAUGAAAUGGAGGAUGAAUUCAAGAAGAUAUUACCAGAGAAAAAUGACACAGGCGAAGAUGAGGAAGAGAAAAAGAUAUUAGAUUCAUUAGAUCGCCGUUUAUAUGGUAAAGCUGAUGAUGAUGGUGAGGAAUUGAGUCCAGUUCUGUAUAGAGAUAACAUCAUGAAGUCGUUCAAUUCUCGUGGUUAUGUCAAUUUCAGGAAUGUUGCCAAGAUUUCAAGACCAAAGAAGAAGAACAGUAAUAAGAGGAGAGAUGAGGGAGAAGGUUCUGAUAGGGAGAAGAGAAUUGGUAAGAAUGAUUUUGCAGUGGUAGAAGUUGUUGGAAAUGAGAAUGAUGAUUUUAGUGGAUUGCUUGGUGAGGAUUUUAAGGGGGGAAGAUGGAGAGGCUCAACAAGAUUGCUGCUGUUGGAUGAAAACCUUGCUAACAAAAAUGUUGAAGAGCUCCCUGAAGCCGUCAAGGCCGUGAUAACAGGAGAACUCGCACAAAGCAGGAAAACAAUACCUGAGCUUGUACAGUGCAAGCUGACAUUGUUUUAUAAUUAUUGGCAAAUGAACGAGAUAUUAGAGGCCUUGCUUCCUAGAGGUGCAAUUGUUCCUUCAGCUUUUGAGACAAUUGGACAUAUUGCUCACCUGAACUUGAGAGAUGAGCACCUUCCUUGCAAGAAACUUAUUGCGCAGGUAGUGUUGGAUAAAAAUAAGCCAAAAAUACAAACAGUUGUUAAUAAGGUUGAAAGCAUUCAAAACGAGUACAGAACAAUGCAGCUCGAAGUUCUCGCUGGAAAUAAUUCCCUUGUAGCUACUGUCACGGAGAACGGAAUUCGUUUUCACGUAGAUUUAGCAGCAGUAUAUUGGAAUUCAAAGCUAGCCACUGAAAGACAAAGGCUGGUUAACCGCUUUACUAGCAGUGAUAUUGUUUGUGAUGUUUUCUCUGGUGUCGGUCCAAUAGCUUUAGCUGCGGCAAAGAAAGUAAAACUUGUCUAUGCUAAUGAUUUAAACCCUGCUGCUGUGGAAUAUCUAGAAAGAAAUUGUGUUCUCAACAAACUUGAGAGAAAGAUUAAGGUUUCUAACAUGGACGGUAGGAGGUUCAUCGUUGCAAUGUUUAACAGCCAUAAAGCGAAAUCUAUCACACAAGUAGUUAUGAAUUUGCCGAAUGAUGCAGUGGAGUAUCUUGAUGUAUUUAGGGGGAUAUUCAUAGAGCGACCUAAGGAGAUGAUUUCACCAAUGCCCAUGAUCCAUGUAUAUGGAUUCUCCAAUGCAUCAGAUCCUGAGUUUGACUUUCACCAGAGGAUUAGGAUCUCGCUGAAGGAGGUUGCAGUUGAGGUAGAAAUACAUAGGGUCCGGCAUGUUGCACCCGGGAAAUGGAUGUUGUGUGCUUCAUUUGUUCUCCCAGAGAUUGUAGCAUUUGCAAGUCUAAGUUAAUACAGGUUUAUGAAAGUCUGGGCCCUGGAGAUACCUUUACCACGCAUGAAUACUUUUAUGUUUUGCUCAGUGAGUCCAUUGAGCUGUUUCUUUGACAAUGAUUUAACAUUACUACACCCCCACAAACAAAAUUGGAGAGUGAAAGAAAGCGGACAAUUGUACCUCUCGAGGAGUCUCAACUUCAGAAAUUGUGUUCUUCUUCCUUACAAAUUCAUAUUUGCCAGUCUGAGGAGUGAGGAGUAAAAUCUUUUGUAAAACUCCAAAUCCUAGUUUGAAAGAAAACAAUCUUUUUUUAGACUCCAAAUCCUAGUUUGAAGAGAACCUAAAUUUUGGUACAGUAUAAUUUAAUGUAGUCUUGUUUGCGGCAGUAAUUAGACUCCAUGUGAAUUAAUUGGAGCCAGUUUAAUCUUAUUAGGACCUGCGACAAUUGAAUAAACUGUGUAUUUUUUUUUCAACUAGAAAUAUCUGUAUAUAGUCACUGCUUUUGCUUUUAUCUGAUGCAAGUACUUCACUUUU